Molecule: ribosomal RNA, 253 nt
Filed under: uncultured bacterium
Lineage: Bacteria
Description: partial 16S ribosomal RNA
Rfam family: Bacterial small subunit ribosomal RNA
Source: RNAcentral
UACGUAGGAGGCAAGCGUUGUCCGGAAUUACUGGGUGUAAAGCGCGUGUAGGCGGCAGGCCAAGUCUGUGGUGAAAUCGCUCGGCUCAACUGGGCGGGGUCCAUGGAAACUGGUCAGCUGGAGGACGGUAGAGGUGAGUGGAAUUCCCGGUGUAGUGGUGAAAUGCGUAGAGAUCGGGAGGAACACCCGUGGCGAAGGCGGCUCACUGGGCCGGUCCUGACGCUGAGGAGCGAAAGCAUGGGGAGCGAACAGG